GGUGCUGCAUGGCUGUUGUCAGCUCGUGUCGUGAGAUGUUGGGUUAAGUCCCGCAACGAGCGCAACCCCCGUCCUUAGUUGCUACCAUUUAGUUGAGCACUCUAAGGAGACUGCCGGUGAUAAGCCGCGAGGAAGGUGGGGAUGACGUCAAGUCCUCAUGGCCCUUACGGGCUGGGCUACACACGUGCUACAAUGGCGGUGACAAUGGGAAGCAAAGGGGCAACCCCUAGCAAAUCUCAAAAAAC
Molecule: ribosomal RNA, 245 nt
Filed under: uncultured bacterium
Lineage: Bacteria
Description: partial 16S ribosomal RNA
Rfam family: Bacterial small subunit ribosomal RNA
Source: RNAcentral